This 725-nucleotide ribosomal RNA is filed under the name Triticum aestivum (bread wheat). RNAcentral describes it as "partial small subunit ribosomal RNA". Lineage: Eukaryota; Viridiplantae; Streptophyta; Magnoliopsida; Poales; Poaceae. The record is from RNAcentral.
UUUCACUGUUGCAGAUGAUGUGGUUGUUACAGAGGCAGAUGUCCGCUCGGGGCAUUGCAGACAAGCGUUGCCUGCUCAGGAAGCAGCGGGUGGGAUUUUGACAAUGUCCAGGGCAUGGAUGAAGCCAAGGAGGAGCUUGUUGAGUGGGAAAGAUGGCCGGGAGGAGCAAAAAACGCAAUUGGCAUGAACGGCAUGUGACUGCUCUUGACCAUGAUUCAUUCCCUGCCAUUCAAGACCAACAAAUAGAGGGCAAGUUGCUGGACUCACCUAAAAAAAUCUCAAGCUAUCCAAGGAAUACCCAAGUAAGGAACCUUCAUCAGCUACUCUCCAAGUAAUCUUCAUACCCUUCCCCCGGAGAUUAGUUGCUUACUAUCUAGCUAGAGAGAAAUCAAUUUGUGUGUGAUUACUGAUUGCACUAAACUUUCUUACAGUUUCUUUUCAGUAAUUGGCAGGAAAUCAGUUGCCCACUACCAGCGUGCACGCAUAAGUUGGUUACUGGCAGAACUGGAGUUGCUUAAAAACAGCCAACCUAGAUGUUGCUGCUUUAAAAAAAAAAUACCACAGUCGUUGUACAAAGUAAACUAAAUUAAGAAGAGAUGCAUGAGUUGCUUACCCCUUUCCCACCCUUUUUUAUUUGCUUAAAAGUGCCCCAAUAGUUGCCACGCUUUUUUCACAUCUUUUUAGUUCUAGCACGCAUAACCAAACAAGAGUUGUUUGCUCUUAAC